UGAGGAAUAUUGGUCAAUGGACGGAAGUCUGAACCAGCCAAGUAGCGUGCAGGACGACGGCCCUCCGGGUUGUAAACUGCUUUUAGUUGGGAAUAAAGUGCGGGACGCGUCCCGUUUUGUAUGUACCAUCAGAAAAAGGACCGGCUAAUUCCGUGCCAGCAGCCGCGGUAAUACGGAAGGUCCGGGCGUUAUCCGGAUUUAUUGGGUUUAAAGGGAGCGCAGGCGGGCUUUUAAGUCAGUUGUGAAAUACGGCGGCUCAACCGUCGGACUGCAGUUGAUACUGGAAGCCUUGAGUUCGCACAGGGAUGCCGGAAUUCAUGGUGUAGCGGUGAGAUGCUCAGAUAUCAUGAAGAACUCCGAUCGCGAAGGCAGGCAUCCGGGGCUUACUGACGCUGAAGCUCGAAAGUGCGGGUAUCGAACAGGAUUAGAUACCCUGGUAGU
RNAcentral lists this ribosomal RNA (441 nucleotides) under uncultured Prevotellaceae bacterium. Its description in RNAcentral is "bacterial SSU rRNA". It matches the Rfam family "Bacterial small subunit ribosomal RNA", at positions 355 to 794 of the family's 1533-position model. Lineage: Bacteria; Pseudomonadati; Bacteroidota; Bacteroidia; Bacteroidales; Prevotellaceae. The record is from RNAcentral.